UUUUUUCUUUUUUUUUCUUUCUUUGAGACAAGGUCUUUCUCUGUUGCCCAGGCUAAAGUAGAGCGGAACAAUCACGUCUCACUACAGCCUCAACCCACCCCCUUAACCCCAGGUCUCACGCCGUCCUCCUACCUCAGCCACCCUAGUAGCUGGGACUACAGGCAAGCUCUACCACAUGUAGCUUUAUUAUUAUUAUUAUUAUUAUUUUUAGUAGAGACGGGUUCUCACUAGGUUGCCCAGGCUGGUCUUGAACUCCUGGGCUCAAGCGAUCUACCUCCCUCAGCCGCCCCAAGUCCUGGGAUUACAGGCAUGAGCCAUGGCUCCCAGCCCAGCAUAGGCUUUGAUGUGGCUUUAGUGAAUAUCGUUCAACUAAACCACUGAGACAGCACAUAUCUUGAGCACCUACUGUGUGCCAGACCCUGGCCAGCUAUGAGAGUCACAGAGGAAGCCCCGCCCCCUCCACCCUGCUGGCUCUCCCAGUUCUGCAAGAGAGACAGGCCGAUCACAAACAAGGAGAACGCUGAGCUAAUGGAACCCAGGCCCUGUGAGGGCAAGAGGAGGUGCAUGCACCCCAUUCUGCCCAAAACAAGGGGGGGUGUCCCUAGAGCAGGUUAACUGAGCCAGGACCCGUGAGGCAGGACCUGCAGCGGGAAGUGAACUCCGGAGGCUCGCAGGACUUCUGGUCUUGGACUGUUCUGAAAAGGAUCGUGUUCUGAAAAGGACCAGCUCGUCAGUAUUUUAGGCUUUGCACACCCCGCAGUCCCAAAUGAAUGAGCUUCGGCUAGUGGCGAAUGACACUUUAUUUACAAAAACAUGUGAAGGGUGGAACUCCGCCCGUGGGUCGGAGCUGAUCCCUAUGGCGGGGUUGGCCGACCCUUCCACAGAUCAGUGGGUCCAGUUGCUUCAGGAAGAUCCCUCAGGCUGCAGUGGUGAGGAUGGAGGGGACGCAGGAAGGCCGUGGCGUCUGGAGACAGGAGGCCUCACUCAUCGCCCGAUGAAGGAACCGUGGCCUGAACCAGUGGUUCUCUGCUCAGGCUGUACCUGACAGUCACCCGGAGAGAUCUGAAACUGCCUCAUACCCCGGCCAUCCCAGCUAAUUACAUGUGAAUUUCUGCACGUGGGACUCCAGCACUGGAGAUUCUGAUAGUACCCCAGGAGUUCCCAAUGUCAGCCCACACUGAGAACCACUGGCAAAAUCUAAGGAAGUAGAGGCAGGAAUGUGGGAAGGAAACAAAUUUAGACAGUACCAUACUUAUGAUGGCGCCGCUUAACAAUUUGUUAUCAUUAUUAUUAUUAUUAUUAUUAUUAAUGUUAUUAUUUUGAGACAGGGUCUCAUUGUGUCACCCGAGCUGGAGUGCAGUGGCACAAUCUCGUCUCACUGCAACCUCUACUUCCCGGGUUCAAGUGAUUCUCCUGCCUCAGCAUCAGGAGAAACUGGGAUUUCAGGUGCCUGCCACCAAGCCCGGCUAAUUCUUGUAUUUUCGGUAGAGAAGGGGUUUCACCAUGUUGGUCACGCUGGUUUGAACUCCUGACCUCAAGUGAUCUGCCUGCCUCGGCCUCCCAAAGUGCUGGGACAACAGGCA
Molecule: long non-coding RNA, 1583 nt
Organism: Macaca fascicularis (crab-eating macaque)
Lineage: Eukaryota; Metazoa; Chordata; Mammalia; Primates; Cercopithecidae
Source: Ensembl